This 1134-nucleotide long non-coding RNA is filed under the name Pan troglodytes (chimpanzee). RNAcentral describes it as "long non-coding RNA NONPTRT011908". Lineage: Eukaryota; Metazoa; Chordata; Mammalia; Primates; Hominidae. The record is from RNAcentral.
AGGGCCUCUGAGAGUCUCCCUGUUGUCUGGAAGGCUCCUUGGGGGCAGGGAUACUCCUGGGUGGCAUGGAGUAGGUGUAAUGGGCGUCUCAGGUCAGGGCUGAUCCCUACCCCCACAACCAUGCUGUCAGCUUCGGCAUCCGCCUGCUGCCCCAGGCCUCUGAGGACAAGUUCGACUGUUACAAGUGUCACUGGCGAGAAGGCAGCAUGUGUGGCUACGGCAUCUGUGAGUACAGCACCGACGAGGUGUACAAGGGCUACUUCCAGGAGGGCCUGCGGCACGGAUUUGGGGUCCUUGAGAGUGGUCCGCAGGCCCCCCAGCCCUUCAGGUACACAGGCCACUGGGAGAGGGGCCAGAGGAGCGGCUAUGGCAUUGAGGAGGAUGGUGACAGGUGAGCGCCCUGCAGCCACCACUCCCAGGACGGAGGGGUGGACAGGGCCCUCACAGACCAGAUUGUUGCAGGACACAGGCUCGUGUUUGUCCCCCACUGUGUCUCUCUUAAGCCCCUCACUUCCCCUCCAGUCCCUCGGUUGCUGCGGAGGCUCAGGCUGAGCGAAUCUUGGUCACGCUGACUGCAGGGUCGCCCCCGCCCCUCACCCCUCCUCAUGGUGUUGGAGAGGCAUUUCUGACCCCCUGCUCUGUCACGUCUAAAAACUGCAGCCCUUGCUGGCUCUCUGGGCUGUGUGAUAAAGCCCUGGAUCCUUGGCCUGGCAAUCACAGCCUCGCCUGCUUCUCUGACCUCACCCCAGCUGCGUCUCCUGGGCACCCCUCCAGCCUUUCUGGACCACUGAAGUCCCCACGUAUCCAUCACAUGCUCCUACCUCCAUGGCUUUGCACACACUCCUAUUCCCCCUGUCCUUCCUGCCACCUCCACGGAGAAGCCUCCCAGAUGCCCUUCCCAGGCUGCCUCCCUCCCUCCUCCAUUCUCUAUUCCUCUUGGGGGUCCUGACCUCUCUGGCACUGUGUCUGUUGAGUGGAUUCAGGUGAUGUCACUGCCCCUUAUCUGCACUCCCUGCCGCCCCGUGCCAGCAGAGUGCCCAGGAGGUACAUGGGAAUGAGUCUGAUCCAACUCUGGCCACAUUCCUCUCCCUCCAGAGGUGAGCGCUACAUUGGCAUGUGGCAGGCUGGUCAGCG